CCUACGGGUGGCUGCAGUGGGGAAUAUUGCACAAUGGGGGGAACCCUGAUGCAGCGACGCCGCGUGGGUGAAGGAGUACUUCGGUACGUAAAGCCCUAUCAGCAGGAAAGAAAAUGACGGUACCUGACUAAGAAGCCCCGGCUAACUACGUGCCAGCAGCCGCGGUAAUACGUAGGGGGCAAGCGUUAUCCGGAUUUACUGGGUGUAAAGGGAGCGUAGACGGCAGCACAAGUCUGGAGUGAAAUGCCGGGGCUUAACCCCGGAACUGCUUUGGAAACUGUGCAGCUAGAGUGCAGGAGAGGUAAGUGGAAUUCCUAGUGUAGCGGUGAAAUGCGUAGAUAUUAGGAGGAACACCAGUGGCGAAGGCGGCUUACUGGACUGUAACUGACGUUGAGGCUCGAAAGCGUGGGGAGCAAACAGGAUUAGAUACCCUAGUAGUC
This 440-nucleotide ribosomal RNA is filed under the name uncultured bacterium. RNAcentral's name for it is "partial 16S ribosomal RNA". It matches the Rfam family "Bacterial small subunit ribosomal RNA", at positions 338 to 795 of the family's 1533-position model. The record is from RNAcentral.